GACGAACGCUGGCGGCGUGCUUAACACAUGCAAGUCGAACGGAAAGGCCCUGCUUUUGUGGGGUGCUCGAGUGGCGAACGGGUGCGUAACACGUGAGUAACCUGCUCUUGUCUUGGGAUAACUUCAGGAAACUGGGGCUAAUACCGGUUCGGAGCUCCUGCUGCAUGGUGGGGGUUGGAAAGUUUCGGCGGUUGGGGAUGGACUCGCGGCUUAUCAGCUUGUUGGUGGGGUAGUGGCUUACCAAGGCUGUGACGGGUAGCCGGCCUGAGAGGGUGACCGGCCACAAUGGGACUGAGAUACGGCCCAGACGCCUACGGGAGGCAGCAGGGGGGAAUAUUGCACAAUGGUCGGAAGCCUGAUGCAGCAACGCCGCGGGCGGGAUGACGGCCUUCGGGUUGUAAACCGCUUUCGCCUGUGACGAAGCGUGAGUGACGGUAAUGGGUAAAGAAGCACCGGCUAACUACGUG
Molecule: ribosomal RNA, 467 nt
Filed under: uncultured bacterium
Lineage: Bacteria
Description: partial 16S ribosomal RNA
Rfam family: Bacterial small subunit ribosomal RNA
Source: RNAcentral